RNAcentral lists this ribosomal RNA (245 nucleotides) under uncultured bacterium. RNAcentral's name for it is "partial 16S ribosomal RNA". It matches the Rfam family "Bacterial small subunit ribosomal RNA", at positions 524 to 768 of the family's 1533-position model. The record is from RNAcentral.
GACAGAGGAUGCAAGCGUUAUCCGGAAUGAUUGGGCGUAAAGCGUCUGUAGGUGGCUUUUCAAGUCUGCCGUCAAAUCCCAGGGCUCAACCCUGGACAGGCGGUGGAAACUACUAAGCUGGAGUACGGUAGGGGCAGAGGGAAUGUCCGGUGGAGCAGUCAAGUGCGCUGAGAUCGGAAAGAACACCAACGGCGAAAGCACUCUGCUGGGCCGACACUGACACUGAGAGACGAAAGCUAGGGGAG